This 54-nucleotide small nuclear RNA is filed under the name Cervus elaphus hippelaphus. It matches the Rfam family "Small nucleolar RNA U3", at positions 166 to 219 of the family's 219-position model. Rfam says of the family: Small nucleolar RNAs (snoRNAs) are involved in the processing and modification of rRNA in the nucleolus. There are two main classes of snoRNAs: the box C/D class, and the box H/ACA class. Lineage: Eukaryota; Metazoa; Chordata; Mammalia; Artiodactyla; Cervidae. The record is from RNAcentral.
GUUCUUCUCUCCUUUUUUGGGAGAGUGAGAGGGAGAAAACGCCGUCUGAGUGGU